GAUAUCAGUCAUGCAUAGCAUAUCAAUAAGGGAGGAAAAGAAACUAACAAGGAUUCCCCUAGUAACGGCGAGUGAAGCGGGAAGAGCUCAAAUUUGAAAUCUUCAAGGUUCUACCUUGACGAAUUGUAGUUUAUAGAAGUGUUUUCUGUUAGUAGAGUGGCAAAAGUUCUUUGGAAUAGGACAUCAUAGAGGGUGAGUAAUCCCGUAUUUGGUCAUUCCUCCUAGCUUUGUGAUACACUUUCAACGAGUCGGAUUGUUUGGGAAUGCAGUCCAAAAUGGGUGGUAAAUUUCAUCUAAAGCUAAAUAUUGGCGAGAGACCGAUAGCGAACAAGUACCGUGAGGGAAAGAUGAAAAGAACUUUGAAAAGAGAGUUAAACAGUACGUGAAAUUGUCAAAGAGGGAAGCGUUUGACACCAGUGUUGUUUUUCCGAAAAUCAAUUACGAAUGUUUUGUUUUUGAGGAGUUAUGACUUCACCGACUUGCUCCUUUCUUUACGAAACUUUCUUAAUGCACUUUUCGGUUAACAAGUCAACAUCAAUUUCUUUUGUUGUAAAAGGGUCAUUGGAAGGUGGCUUUCUUUUCGGAGAAAGUGUUUAUAGCCUUUGGCCUCUGCAAUCGGAGAGAUUGAGGUCUGCAGCGUAGAUCCUUCGGGGUUAGAUGCAUUUGUGCUAAGUUAUAGCCUUUCAUAGACAACUUGUUGACUAUGAUCAGUCAUGUAGCUUACUCGCUUAUGCUAUUUUACCUACGCUUAGGAUGUUGAUCUCUCACAGUCGAGC
Molecule: ribosomal RNA, 776 nt
Filed under: uncultured Neocallimastigales
Lineage: Eukaryota; Fungi; Neocallimastigomycota; Neocallimastigomycetes; Neocallimastigales
Description: partial large subunit ribosomal RNA
Rfam family: Eukaryotic large subunit ribosomal RNA
Source: RNAcentral